RNAcentral lists this ribosomal RNA (547 nucleotides) under uncultured bacterium. Its description in RNAcentral is "bacterial SSU rRNA". It matches the Rfam family "Bacterial small subunit ribosomal RNA", at positions 353 to 892 of the family's 1533-position model. The record is from RNAcentral.
AGUGGGGAAUAUUGGACAAUGGGCGGAAGCCUGAUCCAGCAAUACCGCGUGUGUGAAGAAGGCCUGAGGGUUGUAAAGCACUUUCAAUUGGGAGGAAAACCUGCCGGCCAAUACCCGGCAGCUUGACAUUACCUUUAGAAGAAGCACCGGCUAACUCCGUGCCAGCAGCCGCGGUAAUACGGAGGGUGCAAGCGUUAAUCGGAAUUACUGGGCGUAAAGCGUGCGUAGGUGGCCUGUUAAGUCAGAUGUGAAAGCCCCGGGCUUAACCUGGGAACUGCAUUUGAAACUGGCAGGCUAGAGUUGGGUAGAGGUAAGUGGAAUUUCAGGUGUAGCGGUGAAAUGCGUAGAUAUCUGAAGGAACACCAGUGGCGAAGGCGACUUACUGGACCCAAACUGACGCUGAGGUACGAAAGCGUGGGUAGCAAACAGGAUUAGAUACCCUGGUAGUCCACGCUGUAAACGAUGUCAACUAGCCGUUGGCCCUAUUUACAGGGUUAGUGGCGCAGCUAACGCAUUAAGUUGACCGCCUGGGGAGUACGGCCGCAAG